ACGACUAAACAACAACAAAAGAAACAUGGUUGCUUAGAAAGUUGAGAGGAAUUUUGGGACAUUGAUGUCAUGGUGAAAAUUGAUGUUGUGGUGAAUUUUUGUGUGGCAAAAGCACAGAAUUGGUACUUCAGACUCUGAAGAGGCACUGGGAAUAAAAGGAGUCAGGAAGAUAACACAGGGAAGUAGAAUACAUAUUCAGUACAGCUUGGCUCGGAAAAAAUCCGAAUAAAGCACACGAUUAAGUAGUAUUUUAAAAGGGUGUUUUCUCACCACGUUACGUAGCCCAAACUGUGCGUGAAUCUGCAAUCCAGUGGUCUGCUUUCAACAUAUCUCAAGAAACUGCAAAACUCAGUGUAACUAGAGCUGAGUAGCAUUUACUGUGAGGUCUGUGGAUCCUCCUGGGA
Podarcis muralis (Common wall lizard) is the source of this 404-nucleotide non-coding RNA. NCBI's taxonomy places the organism in Eukaryota, Metazoa, Chordata, Lepidosauria, Squamata, Lacertidae. The record is from RefSeq and is a predicted model, not a curated record.